UCCCUGACCCUUUAAGGGUCCUGAAGGAACGUUGAAGACGACGACGUUGAUAGGCCGGGUGUGUAAGCGCAGCGAUGCGUUGAGCUAACCGGUACUAAUGAACCGUGAGGCUUAACCUUACAACGCCGAAGGUGUUU
This 137-nucleotide ribosomal RNA is filed under the name Escherichia coli. Its description in RNAcentral is "partial 23S ribosomal RNA". The stretch from base 1 to 119 matches the Rfam family "Bacterial large subunit ribosomal RNA", at positions 2812 to 2925 of the family's 2925-position model. Lineage: Bacteria; Pseudomonadati; Pseudomonadota; Gammaproteobacteria; Enterobacterales; Enterobacteriaceae. The record is from RNAcentral.